AACGGCCUUUCUUCGGGCCGUAGGUUUGAACUUCGAUUCUGCUAAGGCGGGUU
This 53-nucleotide ribosomal RNA is filed under the name uncultured bacterium. Its description in RNAcentral is "partial 16S ribosomal RNA". The record is from RNAcentral.